CUUCUGCUGCCUCAUGUGUCCCUUCCAGAGGUCUUGGGAGAAACCGACCCUCGCACUGGCUUCCUUUGCUGCAUCUCUGGAGGUUACGGUGCAAUCUUUGGAGCCUGUGUGAGCCCUGCGAUAGCUGAGUUAGAGGUCGGCUUCUGCUGGAAACUAAGUGAGACAUUAAGAGAUGACUCCAACAGAGGCGCGGUGGAAUUCAGAGUCCCCCUGAUCUGAGUCUUGGAGGCCUCAUCCUGCUCCAUGAAGCUGUGCCCCUGAAGCCCAUAGGCCCCACAGACCCCACCUGAGAUGUCUUCUUUUGCUUGCUGGAACCUGUCUCUAACCCUUCUUGUCCUGUUCUGCAGCCCAGGGUCUGGUGAAAAGGCCUUUGAAGUCUACAUACGGUCCGAGAAGCAGAUAGUAAAAGCCACAGAGGCUUGGAGAGUCAACUGCAGCACCAGCUGUGCAGCCCCAGAGAUCGGUGGUCUGGAGACCCCUACGAAUAAGUUAAUGUUGGAAGAGGACCCUCAUGGGAAAUGGAUAGAAUUCCUAGUCUCAAACGCCACUGUCGACACGGUCUUACUUUGCCAUUUCACUUGUUCGGGAA
This 589-nucleotide long non-coding RNA is filed under the name Rattus norvegicus (Norway rat). Its description in RNAcentral is "long non-coding RNA NONRATT006174". The record is from RNAcentral. Lineage: Eukaryota; Metazoa; Chordata; Mammalia; Rodentia; Muridae.